Molecule: long non-coding RNA, 325 nt
Organism: Nilaparvata lugens (brown planthopper)
Lineage: Eukaryota; Metazoa; Arthropoda; Insecta; Hemiptera; Delphacidae
Exons: 2
Source: RefSeq, a predicted model, not a curated record
AAAUCCAAUCUAUGCUUCUCCUCGAUCCUUCCAAAUCUGGUGUUGUAGCCAUGUGUUUCGUUUCUUGAUCCUGUUGACGAGCAUUUUUUAAAGUACAUGACUACGUCAAAAAUAUAUUGCCCAUAGAUUGUUAAGAUUCCAAACUGUGGAAAAACGAGUUUUACUGAGUCUAAUCUUUUUAACUUCAUUAUUAUUCUGAGAGCUCUUUUUUGUUGUAAUAGUAUCUUAUCAAGAGUGGUACAGGGAUUUCAUUGUCUGUAUACUGCAGAUAUCUGUCAAUUGCCGCAAAGCAAAAAGGCCGGGGGAUAUCUUUUUUACAACCUGA